AAAUUUCAUCGUGAUGGGGAUAGAUCAUUGCAAUUGUUGGUCUUCAACGAGGAAUGCCUAGUAAGCGCGAGUCAUCAGCUCGCGUUGACUACGUCCCUGCCCUUUGUACACACCGCCCGUCGCUCCUACCGAUUGAAUGGUCCGGUGAAGUGUUCGGAUCGCGGCGACGAGGGUGGUUCGCCGCCCCCGACGUCGCGAGAAGUCCAUUGAACCUUAUCAUUUAGAGGAAGGAGAAGUCGUAACAAGGUUUCCGUAGGUGAACCUGCGGAAGGAUCAUUG
RNAcentral lists this ribosomal RNA (279 nucleotides) under Cinnagrostis intermedia. RNAcentral describes it as "partial 18S ribosomal RNA". It matches the Rfam family "Eukaryotic small subunit ribosomal RNA", at positions 1557 to 1831 of the family's 1831-position model. RNAcentral also lists the same sequence under 1 other name. Lineage: Eukaryota; Viridiplantae; Streptophyta; Magnoliopsida; Poales; Poaceae. The record is from RNAcentral.